UAAAAGAUAAGCUAAAUUAAGCUAUUAGAUUCAUACUCUAAAAUUAGAAUAUUAUUCUUCUUUUUA
RNAcentral lists this transfer RNA (66 nucleotides) under Tremex columba (pigeon tremex). RNAcentral describes it as "tRNA-Met". Lineage: Eukaryota; Metazoa; Arthropoda; Insecta; Hymenoptera; Siricidae. The record is from RNAcentral.